GCAGUCGAACGAUGAAGCCCUUCGGGGUGGAUUAGUGGCGAACGGGUGAGUAACACGUGGGCAAUCUGCCCUUCACUCUGGGACAAGCCCUGGAAACGGGGUCUAAUACCGGAUACGACCUGCCGAGGCAUCUCGGCGGGUGGAAAGCUCCGGCGGUGAAGGAUGAGCCCGCGGCCUAUCAGCUUGUUGGUGGGGUAACGGCCCACCAAGGCGACGACGGGUAGCCGGCCUGAGAGGGCGACCGGCCACACUGGGACUGAGACACGGCCCAGACUCCUACGGGAGGCAGCAGUGGGGAAUAUUGCACAAUGGGCGCAAGCCUGAUGCAGCGACGCCGCGUGAGGGAUGACGGCCUUCGGGUUGUAAACCUCUUUCAGCAGGGAAGAAGCGCAAGUGACGGUACCUGCAGAAGAAGCGCCGGCUAACUACGUGCCAGCAGCCGCGGUAAUACGUAGGGCGCAAGCGUUGUCCGGAAUUAUUGGGCGUAAAGAGCUCGUAGGCGGCUUGUCACGUCGGGUGUGAAAGCCCGGGGCUUAACCCCGGGUCUGCAUCCGAUACGGGCAGGCUAGAGUGUGGUAGGGGAGAUCGGAAUUCCUGGUGUAGCGGUGAAAUGCGCAGAUAUCAGG
RNAcentral lists this ribosomal RNA (626 nucleotides) under Streptomyces sp. ANA1208. RNAcentral's name for it is "bacterial SSU rRNA". It matches the Rfam family "Bacterial small subunit ribosomal RNA", at positions 57 to 701 of the family's 1533-position model. The record is from RNAcentral. Lineage: Bacteria; Bacillati; Actinomycetota; Actinomycetes; Kitasatosporales; Streptomycetaceae.